This 468-nucleotide ribosomal RNA is filed under the name uncultured bacterium. RNAcentral describes it as "partial 16S ribosomal RNA". It matches the Rfam family "Bacterial small subunit ribosomal RNA", at positions 28 to 507 of the family's 1533-position model. The record is from RNAcentral.
GACGAACGCUGGCGGCGUGCUUAACACAUGCAAGUCGAACGGAAAGGCCCUGCUUUCGUGGGGUGCUCGAGUGGCGAACGGGUGAGUAACACGUGAGUAACCUGCCCUUGACUUUGGGAUAACUUCAGGAAACUGGGGCUAAUACCGGAUAGGAGCUCCUGCUGCAUGGUGGGGGUUGGAAAGUUUCGGCGGUUGGGGAUGGACUCGCGGCUUAUCAGCUUGUUGGUGGGGUAGUGGCUUACCAAGGCUUUGACGGGUAGCCGGCCUGAGAGGGUGACCGGCCACAUUGGGACUGAGAUACGGCCCAGACUCCUACGGGAGGCAGCAGUGGGGAAUAUUGCACAAUGGGCGGAAGCCUGAUGCAGCAACGCCGCGUGCGGGAUGACGGCCUUCGGGUUGUAAACCGCUUUCGCCUGUGACGAAGCGUGAGUGACGGUAAUGGGUGAAGAAGCACCGGCUAACUACGUG